GUGAAUCAUCAAAUUUUUGAACGCAAAUUGCACUCCCUGGUAUUCCGGGGAGUAUGCCUGUUUGAGGGUCGUUAGAAUAAAAAAUCGAUGCGUCGCUCUUUUUUUUAAGGGUGAUCGCGUCGGAAUUGAGCCGUAUUUUAAAUGUUAAUUCAUGUCAAAGUGGCUUGAAAUUCAUCCAUCCGGUACGAUUGAAGUGUAUUAAACAUCAAUUUUGAUGGUGAAGGUGGGUUGAGGU
This 235-nucleotide unclassified non-coding RNA is filed under the name Funneliformis mosseae. Its description in RNAcentral is "partial contains 5.8S ribosomal RNA and internal transcribed spacer 2". The stretch from base 1 to 71 matches the Rfam family "5.8S ribosomal RNA", at positions 84 to 154 of the family's 154-position model. The record is from RNAcentral. Lineage: Eukaryota; Fungi; Glomeromycota; Glomeromycetes; Glomerales; Glomeraceae.